UGGCGGACGGGUGAGUAAUGUCUGGGAAACUGCCCGAUGGAGGGGGAUAACUACUGGAAACGGUAGCUAAUACCGCAUAACGUCGCAAGGCCAAAGAGGGGGACCUUCGGGCCUCUUGCCAUCGGAUGUGCCCAGAUGGGAUUAGCUAGUAGGUGGGGUAACGGCUCACCUAGGCGACGAUCCCUAGCUGGUCUGAGAGGAUGACCAGCCACACUGGAACUGAGACACGGUCCAG
RNAcentral lists this ribosomal RNA (235 nucleotides) under uncultured bacterium. RNAcentral's name for it is "partial 16S ribosomal RNA". It matches the Rfam family "Bacterial small subunit ribosomal RNA", at positions 96 to 334 of the family's 1533-position model. The record is from RNAcentral.